GAAGCAACGCGAAGAACCUUACCAAAUCUUGACAUCCUUUGACCACUCUAGAGAUAGAGCUUUCCCCUUCGGGGGACAAAGUGACAGGUGGUGCAUGGUUGUCGUCAGCUCGUGUCGUGAGAUGUUGGGUUAAGUCCCGCAACGAGCGCAACCCUUAAGCUUAGUUGCCAUCAUUAAGUUGGGCACUCUAAGUUGACUGCCGGUGACAAACCGGAGGAAGGUGGGGAUGACGUCAAAUCAUCAUGCCCCUUAUGAUUUGGGCUACACACGUGCUACAAUGGACAAUACAAAGGGCAGCUAAACCGCGAGGUCAAGCAAAUCCCAUAAAGUUGUUCUCAGUUCGGAUUGUAGUCUGCAACUCGACUACAUGAAGCUGGAAUCGCUAGUAAUCGUAGAUCAGCAUGCUACGGUGAAUACGUUCCCGGGUCUUGUACACACCGCCCGUCACACCACGAGAGUUUGUAACACCCGAAGCCGGUGGAGUAACCAUUUAGGAGCUAGCCGUCGAA
RNAcentral lists this ribosomal RNA (509 nucleotides) under Staphylococcus aureus. Its description in RNAcentral is "bacterial SSU rRNA". It matches the Rfam family "Bacterial small subunit ribosomal RNA", at positions 953 to 1460 of the family's 1533-position model. The record is from RNAcentral. Lineage: Bacteria; Bacillati; Bacillota; Bacilli; Caryophanales; Staphylococcaceae.